RNAcentral lists this small RNA (178 nucleotides) under Gopherus agassizii (Agassiz's desert tortoise). RNAcentral describes it as "TUC338 (ENSGAGG00000018634.1)". The record is from RNAcentral. Lineage: Eukaryota; Metazoa; Chordata; Testudines; Testudinidae.
UUGAUAACACUGGAGACUGAAGUCCAUUAUUUAUCCGUAAGACAGUUACAGCAUGGGCAGCAGCACUGCAAGCUUAUCACUUCCCCCACAGUCAGGGACCUUUAACCUCGAUUCAAUAGGAUCAUCUUUCGAAGCAAGAAAGUAGUCCGUUUCCAUGCCAAUAUAAUCCUUUGACUUU